This 492-nucleotide ribosomal RNA is filed under the name uncultured bacterium. Its description in RNAcentral is "partial 16S ribosomal RNA". It matches the Rfam family "Bacterial small subunit ribosomal RNA", at positions 29 to 507 of the family's 1533-position model. The record is from RNAcentral.
AGUGAACGCUGGCGGUAGGCCUAACACAUGCGAGUCGAACGGCAGCACAGUAAGAGCUUGCUCUUACGGGUGGCGAGUGGCGGACGGGUGAGGAAUACAUCGGAAUCUACUUUUUCGUGGGGGAUAACGUAGGGAAACUUACGCUAAUACCGCAUACGACCUACGGGUGAAAGCAGGGGAUCUUCGGACCUUGCGCGAUUGAAUGAGCCGAUGUCGGAUUAGCUAGUUGGCGGGGGAAAGGCCCACCAAGGCGACGAUCCGUAGCUGGUCUGAGAGGAUGAUCAGCCACACUGGAACUUAGACACGGUCCAGACUCCUACGGGAGGCAGCAGUGGGGAAUAUUGGACAAUGGGCGCAAGCCUGAUCCAGCCAUACCGCGUGGGUGAAGAAGGCCUUCGGGUUGUAAAGCCCUUUUGUUGGGAAAGAAAAGCAGCAGGUUAAUACCCCGCUGUUCUGACGGUACCCAAAGAAUAAGCACCGGCUAACUUCGUG